RNAcentral lists this ribosomal RNA (212 nucleotides) under uncultured bacterium. Its description in RNAcentral is "partial 16S ribosomal RNA". It matches the Rfam family "Bacterial small subunit ribosomal RNA", at positions 327 to 535 of the family's 1533-position model. The record is from RNAcentral.
GGAUCGCCCUUCCUACGGGAGGCAGCAGUAAGGAAUAUUGGUCAAUGGACGCAAGUCUGAACCAGCCAUGCCGCGUGAAGGAUGAAGGUCCUCUGGAUUGUAAACUUCUUUUAUAGGGGACGAAAAAAGGGAAUUCUUUCUCGUCUGACGGUACCCUAGGAAUAAGCACCGGCUAACUCCGUGCCAGCAGCCGCGGUAAUAAGGGCGAUCCC